Molecule: long non-coding RNA, 533 nt
Filed under: Equus caballus (horse)
Lineage: Eukaryota; Metazoa; Chordata; Mammalia; Perissodactyla; Equidae
Description: lncRNA (ENSECAG00000052077.1)
Source: RNAcentral
AGCAACUGAAUGCCUGGGUGGAUCAAGGUGGUGAUCUCUUUUCGUCCUGUAGCAAAGUAGACUUGUGGGUGUGGUCUGCCUUCACUGAGAUGGAAAUAAGAAAUUACAACUAGAGACCAUCAGAUCUGUAAGGCCUGGAGAGCCACGCAGAAGGAUGCAGACUGGUCAUCGGGCAGGAGUAUUGGUGCACAGAUGGCCAGUAUUGGAGGCUGAGACUUGAGAGAUGUCAAACAUCUGAGUGGGACCAGGACAGGGUGGAUGCCUCGACCUGACUCUCUAUUUACGUGGCUGGGUGAUUGGGCGCUUGUGAAGAAAACACCGGCAUAUGUUGGUGACACAGUAAAUCCACAUCUACCUGCUAGUGUAAGAGUCUCAGCAUCACACAGCAAUCAUUUUGGGUUUUCUUCCAAGUCUUUUCAUCUUAUAGGUAUGUUCUGCAGACCUCAGCACAGCUCACUUCUACAGCCAAGGUUUUGCAGAACAAUAUGAUCAUCUUUAACUUUGAGAAAGCUGCUCUCUAAGAUCGUCUGGAU